Molecule: long non-coding RNA, 411 nt
Filed under: Carica papaya (papaya)
Lineage: Eukaryota; Viridiplantae; Streptophyta; Magnoliopsida; Brassicales; Caricaceae
Description: long non-coding RNA (CPAP_LNC016420)
Source: RNAcentral
GGCCACGUGGGCGAUCCGCGUACGCGCGAUCGGACGGCCCAAAUCCGUUCCCGCGCGCACGGACGGCCCAGAUCAAAUGUGCGCACAGAUGGCCCAGAUUUCACACGUACGGAUGGCCCAGAUUCAUUCAGGCACGGACGACCCAGAUCGUAUCGCGAUGGAUAGCCCAAAUUUAAUUCCAAAUAAAUCGCGAUCGGACGGUCCAUAUUUAAUCUUGAUGGACAGUUGAGAUUAAAAGGCAAAGGGUAUAAAUAACCCCAUCCACACCUGACCACAAAACCCUAGCUGCCAGUGCCUCGCCGGAGAAGAAGAAUCAAACGCUGGAGGAGCCGGCCGCCGUCACCCGCCGCCGCACCGGAGAAUUUUCUGACCGCCAAUCGAGGUAAAUUUUCUCCCCUGGCUCGUUUUUUG